ACCUGGCUCAGGACGAACGCUGGCGGCGUGCCUAAUACAUGCAAGUCGAGCGGAGUUAUUCCUUCGGGGAUAGCUUAGCGGCGGACGGGUGAGUAACACGUAGGUAACCUGCCUAUAAGAUCGGGAUAACUAUCGGAAACGAUAGCUAAGACCGGAUAACUGGUUUUCUCGCAUGAGAGAAUCAUGAAACACGGAGUAAUCUGUGGCUUAUAGAUGGGCCUGCGGCGCAUUAGCUAGUUGGUGAGGUAACGGCUCACCAAGGCGACGAUGCGUAGCCGACCUGAGAGGGUGAACGGCCACACUGGGACUGAGACACGGCCCAGACUCCUACGGGAGGCAGCAGUAGGGAAUCUUCCGCAAUGGACGCAAGUCUGACGGAGCAACGCCGCGUGAGUGAUGAAGGUUUUCGGAUCGUAAAGCUCUGUUGCCCUAGACGAACAGCAGGGGAGAGUAACUGUCUUCUCCUGUGUGACGGUAUAGGAGAAAGAAAAGCCCCGGCUAACUAC
Molecule: ribosomal RNA, 506 nt
Filed under: uncultured bacterium
Lineage: Bacteria
Description: bacterial SSU rRNA
Rfam family: Bacterial small subunit ribosomal RNA
Source: RNAcentral